Molecule: ribosomal RNA, 1065 nt
Filed under: Lulworthia atlantica
Lineage: Eukaryota; Fungi; Ascomycota; Sordariomycetes; Lulworthiales; Lulworthiaceae
Description: SSU rRNA
Rfam family: Eukaryotic small subunit ribosomal RNA
Source: RNAcentral
UAUUAAGCCAUGCAUGUCUAAGUAUAAGCAAUUAUACAGCGAAACUGCGAAUGGCUCAUUAAAUCAGUUAUCGUUUAUUUGAUAGUACCAUACUACUUGGAUAACCGUGGUAAUUCUAGAGCUAAUACAUGCUAAAAACCUCGACUUCGGAAGAGGUGUGUUUAUUAGAUUAAAGACCAAUGCCCUCCGGGGCUCACUGGUGAUUCAUAAUAACCUCUCGAAUCGCACGGCCCUGCGCCGGCGAUGGUUCAUUCAAAUUUCUGCCCUAUCAACUUUCGACUUUAGUGUAGUGGACUAAAGUGGUUGCAACGGGUAACGGAGGGUUAGGGCUCGACCCCGGAGAAGGAGCCUGAGAAACGGCUACUACAUCCAAGGAAGGCAGCAGGCGCGCAAAUUACCCAAUCCCGACACGGGGAGGUAGUGACAAUAAAUACUGAUACAGGGCUCUUUCGGGUCUUGUAAUUGGAAUGAGUACAAUUUAAAUCCCUUAACGAGGAACAAUUGGAGGGCAAGUCUGGUGCCAGCAGCCGCGGUAAUUCCAGCUCCAAUAGCGUAUAUUAAAGUUGUUGUGGUUAAAAAGCUCGUAGUUGAACCUGGGCCCCGCGCCCGCCGGUCCGCCUCACCGCGUGCACUGGCGCGGCCGGGGCUUUCACUUGGGGAACCGCAUGCCCUUCGCUGGGCGUGCGCGGAACCAGGACCUUUACUGUGAAAAAAUUAGAGUGUUCAAAGCAGGCCUAUGCUCGAAUACAUUAGCAUGGAAUAAUAGAAUAGGACGCGCGGUUCUAUUUUGUUGGUUAUGGGACCGCCGUAAUGAUUAAUAGGGCCAGUCGGGGGCAUCAGUAUUCAAUAGUCAGAGGUGAAAUUCUUGGAUUUAUUGAAGACUAACUACUGCGAAAGCAUUUGCCAAGGAUGUUUUCAUUAAUCAGGAACGAAAGUUAGGGGAUCGAAGACGAUCAGAUACCGUCGUAGUCUUAACCAUAAACUAUGCCGACUAGGGAUCGGGCGAUGUUACAUUCUGACUCGCUCGGCACCUUACGAGAAAUCAAAGUCUGUGGGUUCCUGGGA